This 28-nucleotide non-coding RNA is filed under the name Bombyx mori (domestic silkworm). The record is from RNAcentral. Lineage: Eukaryota; Metazoa; Arthropoda; Insecta; Lepidoptera; Bombycidae.
UGAGUUCUGGACCUGGAGCGUAUGUGGC